This 2692-nucleotide small RNA is filed under the name Pongo abelii (Sumatran orangutan). RNAcentral's name for it is "retained intron". Lineage: Eukaryota; Metazoa; Chordata; Mammalia; Primates; Hominidae. The record is from RNAcentral.
CACCUGAUUUCUUUUUUUUGGAAUAUUAAAGCCUUGAGGUUAAAGAAAAUAAUAAGAGUUGUUAAAAGGCAGAAUUGUGUUUAGGAGACUCAAUAUGUAGUGUUGCAACACUAGGAGGAAAAACUCCAGGUACAUAUUAUUCACUAAUAAUAAUAAUAAUAAAAGAAAAAAAAAAAGUAUUCUUAAAACUUGUGGAUCUGUUUAUACAACUUCAGCUAUAACCACUAUAACUGCUGUGCAAAUGACUCUCAAAUCAUAGGCCCACCCUUCUUUGCUGAACUCCAUCCAGAUCUUGCACUGUUAAACUGCUGUUAGAUUUAAGCCAAACUCAUUUUUUUCCUAUUUCUUCCAAAAUUUUUAUUCCCCAAUCCUAUAUGGUCUUUAAUUUUAGUACUUAUGGUCUUUAGACGUCUGUAUGUAUGUAUGUAUUUGUGUAUGUAUAUAUGUAUGAAUGAGACAGGGUCUUACUCUGUUGCCCAAGCUGCAGUACAGAGGUUAACUGUAACCUCCAACUCCUGGGCUCAAACUAUGCACCCACUUUAGCCUCCCAAGUAGCUAAGACUAUAGACACACGCCACCACGCCUGGCUAAUUUAUUUUGGUUUUUUUAGAGAUGGGUCUCGUUGUUUUUCUCAGGCUGGUUUCAAACUCCUGGCCUCAAGUGAUCCUCCCUCCUUGACCUCCCAAAGUGCUGCGAUUACAGGCCUGAGCUACCAUGCCCAGCACCCAUGUUUAUUAUUUUAUAUAUUAAUGCCUGUGUACUGCCGUUUUUGUGCUGAAUCCAACUUUGUGAGUUGACAAAUGGAGGAGCUAUUGCGUGGGGAACUAUCUGACAAUCUACAAUUUAUUCUUAGAAUUUUGUUAUCUUUGUUUCUAUAGCAGCGUUUGUGAGAUUACUCGAUGAUUUUAGAGCAUUAUAUCAGUGAUUUUUCAACCAAGAGUGAUUAUGCCUCCGUGGACAUUUGACAAAUGUCUGGAAACGUUUUUGAUGUCUAGGACUGGGAGGCUGCAACUGGCAUCUGGUGGGUGCAUAGAGGUCAGGGAUGCUGCUAAAUGUCUUAGAAUGCACGGGCUGGCCCCUACAGCCAAGAACUCUCUGGCCCAAAAUGUCAACAGUGCCACAGUUGAGAAACCCUGCAUUAUACAUUUAUGAAAAUUAAUUAAAAAUGAAAAAAUAGAGUUCGAUGAUAGCCUUCAAUUAUGUAUCAUUAAUGGAAAUCUUGGGUUAGUACUUCUCAGGUAUAUUAACCUCUCUGCUAACUUUGUCUUAUCAUUUCUGCUCUUAUUUUUCCUUUCUCCUAUUGUCUUCAUUCACUUUUUCUUUAAUUUUUUAAUUGUAACCAUUUAUGUAAGCCAACUUUAUUUUUUUCUGUAAGAAGUUUUAAGUAUGUAUGAAUUAAUAAAAGAAUGUACAGAAGUGUACAGAAAGUGUUAGAGUCAGAUAACCAAGUGUAUAGUGAGCAAAGGAUAUUUACUGUUUCCAAGGGGAAUGGUUUUUUUCCCCCCCAAAAAAAACUCAUUGUUGUGGUCUUUUUGUCUGCCAGAGUGGUUCAUGGCCUUGAAAAUUUGUGAACCCCUACUUUGAAAAUAAAGUACUUCAAAGGAAAUAAACAAAAAGAAAUCUCACUAUUUAAGUGAAGCAUGUCUUUUUGAUGGAUUGGCUUUAUUCUUUUUCUAAAUCUGACCACCAGAUAAUUUUUCUGUUUCUUUUCCCUGAAUGUUGCCAGGACACUCAAUCACUUGUCGGAAGUCCCUCAACCCGUAUAGCACCUCAUAUUAUUGGAGCAGAAGAUGAUGAUUUUGGUACUGAACAUGAACAGAUCAAUGGACAGUGCAGCUGUUUCCAGAGCAUUGAAUUACUAAAAUCUCGCCCGGCUCAUUUGGCUGUUUUCUUACACCAUGUAGUUUCACAAUUUGACCCUGCAACUUUGCUCUGUUAUCUCUAUUCAGACCUGUAUAAACAUACCAAUUCGAAAGAAACUCGUCGCAUCUUCCUUGAGUUUCAUCAGUUCUUUCUAGAUCGAUCAGCACACCUGAAAGUUUCUGUUCCUGAUGAAAUGUCUGCAGAUCUAGAAAAGAGAAGACCUGAGCUCAUUCCUGAGGAUCUGCAUCGCCACUAUAUCCAAACUAUGCAAGAAAGAGUCCAUCCAGAAGUUCAAAGGCACUUAGAAGAUUUUCGGCAGAAACGUAGUAUGGGACUGACCUUGGCUGAAAGCGAGCUGACUAAACUUGAUGCAGAGCGAGACAAGGACCGAUUGACUUUGGAGAAGGAGCGGACAUGUGCAGAACAGAUUGUUGCCAAAAUUGAAGAAGUAUUGAUGACUGCUCAGGCUGUAGAGGAAGAUAAGAGUUCCACCAUGCAGUAUGUUAUUCUCAUGUAUAUGAAGCAUUUGGGAGUAAAAGUGAAAGAGCCUCGAAAUUUGGAGCACAAACGGGGUCGGAUUGGAUUUCUUCCCAAAAUCAAGCAAAGUAUGAAGAAAGAUAAAGAAGGGGAAGAAAAAGGGAAGCGAAGAGGAUUCCCCAGCAUCCUGGGACCCCCACGGAGACCAAGCCGUCAUGACAACAGUGCAAUUGGCAGAGCCAUGGAACUACAGAAGGCGCGCCACCCUAAGCACUUAUCCACACCCUCAUCUGUGAGUCCUGAACCUCAGGACUCUGCCAAGUUGCGCCAGAGUGGGUUAGCAAACGAAGGA